This 497-nucleotide ribosomal RNA is filed under the name uncultured bacterium. RNAcentral's name for it is "partial 16S ribosomal RNA". It matches the Rfam family "Bacterial small subunit ribosomal RNA", at positions 28 to 507 of the family's 1533-position model. The record is from RNAcentral.
GAUGAACGCUGGCGGCGUGCCUAAUACAUGCAAGUCGAGCGACCAGAUGAGGAGCUUGCUCCUCUGACGUUAGCGGCGGACGGGUGAGUAACACGUGGAUAACCUACCUAUAAGACUGGGAUAACUACGGGAAACCGGAGCUAAUACCGGAUAAUAUAUUGAACCGCAUGGUUCAAUAGUGAAAGACGGUUUUGCUGUCACUUAUAGAUGGAUCCGCGCCGCAUUAGCUAGUUGGUAAGGUAACGGCUUACCAAGGCAACGAUGCGUAGCCGACCUGAGAGGGUGAUCGGCCACACUGGAACUGAGACACGGUCCAGACUCCUACGGGAGGCAGCAGUAGGGAAUCUUCCGCAAUGGGCGAAAGCCUGACGGAGCAACGCCGCGUGAGUGAUGAAGGUCUUCGGAUCGUAAAACUCUGUUAUUAGGGAAGAACAAAUGUGUAAGUAACUAUGCACGUCUUGACGGUACCUAAUCAGAAAGCCACGGCUAACUACGUG